CACAAGAACAGCAUGGGGGAAACUGCCCCCAUGAUUCAGUUACCUCCACCUCGCCUCUCCCUUGACUUGUGGGAAUUACAAGGAUUAUACUUCAAGAUGAGAUUUGGCUGGGGACACAAAGCCUGAGCAUAUCACUAUCGCUCUCAGUCUUGUCCGACUGGCCUCGUGUAGGAGAAGGCUCUCACCUAUCUGUCUGACCAGAGAUUUUAAGGCUAACACUCCUUGUUCCUGUGAACCAACCAGCAAUCUCCAGCUGCAGCUCAGAAAGAAGGAGAGGAUGGCAUAAAUGAGGUCUAGGAAACUCCAAGACUACUGACUGUAGGGGGUAUAGAAACAUAGGCCAUCAAACUCCAAAUGGUCGUGCAACCGGAGCCUCGGAAGAUGGCGCCUUCUGCCGGGAACCCUUAGAUAGGCUUCUGAGGGAGCUCUGACUGCCGUUUCCCAAAACACCGCUCCCUGUUAGCAGGAAGCAGUUUAGAUCGGUCUUCGUCCUCACCCCUAUCCUUGUUCUAACAGUAGUUUGAUGUACUUCUUGAGAGGGGGGAAUGAGACAGCCAAGUGUAAAGGGGUCCCCAGAGAACCUCUGACAAACCCGCACACUGGGAGGAAUGUGCACUGGGGUGGAGCCUCUGGAAGUUCGUGCUGAGGAGCCUGGCCCCUCCUCUUCCAGGGUGGAACCUGGGAUUCAACCUGAGAGGUGGGAAGCGUGUACUAGCAGGACUCUCACUCUGCCGAGGGUCCCCGUUUCCCCGCUUUUUUUUU
This 762-nucleotide long non-coding RNA is filed under the name Homo sapiens (human). RNAcentral's name for it is "LHRI_LNC1859.2". Lineage: Eukaryota; Metazoa; Chordata; Mammalia; Primates; Hominidae. The record is from RNAcentral.